UUCCUCGACCACGUGCCAAAUUGCAGGCAAUUUUAGAUUUGGAAGGUGUGUUUAGUAACCAGCAACAAGAUACAGCCCAAGCCAUUACACGUAAAGAUUCUCCCACUAAAGGAACAAUGGGUCAUGUUUUAGUAGAAGCUUUCUUACGG
This is a long non-coding RNA of Mytilus californianus (California mussel), 149 nucleotides long. RefSeq lists it as uncharacterized. The transcript has 3 exons. NCBI's taxonomy places the organism in Eukaryota, Metazoa, Mollusca, Bivalvia, Mytilida, Mytilidae. The record is from RefSeq and is a predicted model, not a curated record.